AGCAGAUGUUUGUAAUCUGAAUCUAUUAUAGAUUCUUAUGAUGUUUCAGACUGAUGUCAUUAUCUCAGAUCUCCAAUCUCAUCUGAACCUGGUUCUUCUGGAUUCUUGGCUUACUCAUCUGAACGCCAAAACCCUCUUCUUCCCAGGUUGUUUGCUGUUGUGGAUGACAUUUUCUGCAUCUUUCAAGGCCACAUCGACAAUGUAGCACAUCUUAAGCAAUAGUAUGGGUUAAACAAGACUGCAAAUGAAGUGAUCAAUGUUAUUGAGGCUUACAGAACUUUGAGGGAUAGAGGUCCUUACCCUCCAGAUCAGGUUGUGAAAGUUUGCAUUCGUUCUUUAUGAUAGUGCUUCGAAGAGUACCUUUCUAGCUUCUGGUGCUUUUUCACAUCUUCUGGUGGCUUGAGCAGUUAUGAGACAAAACAUGAAAUUGCCAGACACCUAUUUUUUGCGCCACAGAUAUGAUAUGCAGUCGUAUUUUUUGGAUGUGUUGCGUAAUUAUGGGUUAAAGAUGCCUACAACCUUGGCUCGAGCUCUCCAAAAAUAUUGACCUAAAAAUGCAUUAUUGUUGGAUUAUCGACACACACCCCUAGCUAUUCUUAAAAGGUCUGAGCAACUGAUCUUGUGACUGAUCAUUAUUGCCACCAGGAGGAUAGUGAGACCUCACCAAGAGAGGUUCUCAGCUGCUCAACGACCCCGCAACAGAACUCUUUCAUCUGUUCAUGAUGCCAUAUUGGAGGACUUGGUUGUUCCAGCAGAGAUUGUUGGAAGCGUACGAAGUAUCACGUUGGCCCCAAGGAACGAAACAACACCAAGUAUUAGUUGGAGACCUUUUCAACAGUUAAUAGAAAGCCUUCAGACAAAGAUGUUGUGUUUGAGUACCCCGUCCCGUCUCUGAGGCUUAAGGAUAUGUAAUGCAUGUCCUCAUUUAUUUGACGUGAAACUACACAUUAGUGGUUCCUCCUCUGUAAUUUUGGCAGUACCAUUUGGUUUUAGAAUGCAGAGAACUAUGUGACAUUCCUAUCAAUUUUAAGUUAAAACCAUGCUGCAAUGUUAUAGA
Long non-coding RNA from Solanum tuberosum (potato), 1057 nucleotides. RefSeq lists it as uncharacterized. The record is from RefSeq and is a predicted model, not a curated record. The transcript is spliced from 2 exons. Lineage: Eukaryota; Viridiplantae; Streptophyta; Magnoliopsida; Solanales; Solanaceae.